UGGGGAAUCUUGCGCAAUGGGCGAAAGCCUGACGCAGCGACGCCGCGUGAGCGAUGAAGGCCCUCGGGUUGUAAAGCUCUGUGGGGAGAGAAGAAUAAGGGCAGGCCAACACCCUGUCUGAUGACGGUAUCUCCUUAGCAAGCACCGGCUAACUCUGUGCCAGCAGCCGCGGUAAGACAGAGGGUGCAAACGUUGUUCGGAAUUACUGGGCGUAAAGCGCGUGUAGGCGGCUAUGCAAGUCGGAUGUGAAAGCCCACGGCUCAACCGUGGAAGUGCACUCGAAACUGCGUAGCUAGAGUCCCGGAGAGGAAGGUGGAAUGCUUGGUGUAGAGGUGAAAUUCGUAGAUAUCAAGCGGAACACCGGUGGCGAAGGCGGCCUUCUGGACGGUGACUGACGCUGAGACGCGAAAGCGUGGGGAGCAAACAGGAUUAGAUACCCUGGUAGUCCACGCCGUAAACGAUGAGUGCUAGGUGUCAGGAGCUUUGACCCUUCUGGUGCCGCAGCUAACGCAAUAAGCACUCCGCCUGGGGAGUACGGUCGCAAGGCUA
This 549-nucleotide ribosomal RNA is filed under the name uncultured bacterium. RNAcentral's name for it is "bacterial SSU rRNA". It matches the Rfam family "Bacterial small subunit ribosomal RNA", at positions 355 to 896 of the family's 1533-position model. The record is from RNAcentral.